RNAcentral lists this unclassified non-coding RNA (347 nucleotides) under uncultured Erythrobasidiales. RNAcentral describes it as "sequence contains ITS1". The stretch from base 1 to 105 matches the Rfam family "5.8S ribosomal RNA", at positions 50 to 154 of the family's 154-position model. Lineage: Eukaryota; Fungi; Basidiomycota; Cystobasidiomycetes; Erythrobasidiales. The record is from RNAcentral.
GAAUUGCGAUAAGUAAUGUGAAUUGCAGAAUUCAGUGAAUCAUCGAAUCUUUGAACGCACCUUGCACUCUUUGGUAUUCCGAAGAGUAUGUCUGUUUGAGUGUCAUGAAACUCUCAACCCCCCUGUUUUGUAACGAGAUAGGCGUGGGCUUGGAUUAUGGUUGUCUGCUGGCGUCAAGUCAGCUCAACUGAAAUAUACGAGCAACCCAUUUGAAAUAGACGGUUUGACUCGGCGUAAUAAUUAUUUCGCUGAGGACGUCUUCUUUAAAGUCAGUGGUGCUUCUAAUGCGUUAUAAUACAUCAUAAGCUUUAGACCUCAAAUCAGUCAGGACUACCCGCUGAACUUAA